Molecule: ribosomal RNA, 252 nt
Filed under: uncultured bacterium
Lineage: Bacteria
Description: partial 16S ribosomal RNA
Rfam family: Bacterial small subunit ribosomal RNA
Source: RNAcentral
UACGGGGGGGGCAAGCGUUGUUCGGAAUUACUGGGCGUAAAGGGCUCGUAGGCGGCCAACUAAGUCGGACGUGAAAUCCCAGGCUCAACCUGGGAACUGCGUCCGAUACUGGAUGGCUUGAAUCCGGGAGAGGGAUGCAGAAUUCCAGGUGUAGCGGUGAAAUGCGUAGAUAUCUGGAGGAAUACCGGUGGCGAAGGCGGCAUCCUGGACCGGCAUUGACGCUGAGGAGCGAAAGCUAGGGGAGCAAACGGG